Molecule: non-coding RNA, 748 nt
Organism: Pelobates cultripes (western spadefoot toad)
Lineage: Eukaryota; Metazoa; Chordata; Amphibia; Anura; Pelobatidae
Source: the annotation of a GenBank genome assembly
GGAGAAGGGACAAUUUAUGGAAACCACUGCUCUACAGCGAUUGAAAACACCACAAGAAAAGGUGUGGAAAUCAGUGAAAUUAUUUGGUAAAUUAUUUUGCUAAAACACUCCGUGGGUACUCCAAAAAAACCCACUACAACAUGCAAAUACAAAAGAGAAAACCAAUAACCAAUAGUGGGUCCGUGUCAAACUUCCCCUCUACUUGGUAAGAGUAAAUAUAAUCCCAGACAUAUAAAUAUACACUUACCCCUCAGGAUGAAACAUGGGGUAUAUAUGUGUGGCGAAAGCAACCUCGCCACUCAACACUGGAGAAGCCUGGUUGCUCGCCUGCUCCCUUUAGACUAUGGCCCUGCAGUUCAGACCUGUUAUUUUCCCUGCUGAAAGGUUUAUUCAUGCCUUUCUGCCAGGGUGUUCGGUAGAUUCAAUCUACCGAACAACUACCGAACAAUGGACCACCUGGGAACUGGAGUGUGCCGUCAAUUGACCGCCCAGAAGCUGCGGUUAACCGCAGCUUAAUUGAUGAACGCUGGGAGGCCUUUGUUCGGUUGCCGAACACGUGGCAGCGGCCAUUUUACCUCCCGAACGGCCAGCGGUGUUCAGCGCCUAAACUAUGGAACUGAAAACGGACACUUAAUUGCGCGAACACCGCAGAGCCGCCAGCCUCCUUCCCUUCCCAUUCGAGAGCGGAACCGAAUGACUGUUCAUUCGGUAGUUUAACCGGAUGAACAGCAUCACCCAGAUAGCUAAG